Molecule: ribosomal RNA, 253 nt
Filed under: uncultured bacterium
Lineage: Bacteria
Description: partial 16S ribosomal RNA
Rfam family: Bacterial small subunit ribosomal RNA
Source: RNAcentral
UACGUAGGGUGCGAGCGUUAAUCGGAAUUACUGGGCGUAAAGCGUGCGCAGGCGGUUCGACAAGUCCGAUGUGAAAGCCCCGGGCUCAACCUGGGAAUGGCAUUGGAAACUGGCGAGCUUGAGUGUGGUAGAGGGGGGUGGAAUUCCACGUGUAGCAGUGAAAUGCGUAGAGAUGUGGAGGAACACCAAUGGCGAAGGCAGCCCCCUGGGUCGAUACUGACGCUCAUGCACGAAAGCGUGGGUAGCAAACAGG